This 75-nucleotide transfer RNA is filed under the name Hymenobacter psoromatis. Its description in RNAcentral is "Hymenobacter sp. PAMC 26554 tRNA-Arg". It matches the Rfam family "tRNA". From Rfam's summary of the family: Transfer RNA (tRNA) molecules are approximately 80 nucleotides in length. Their secondary structure includes four short double-helical elements and three loops (D, anti-codon, and T loops). Further hydrogen bonds mediate the characteristic L-shaped molecular structure. tRNAs have two regions of fundamental functional importance: the anti-codon, which is responsible for specific mRNA codon recognition, and the 3' end, to which the tRNAs corresponding amino acid is attached (by aminoacyl-tRNA synthetases). tRNAs cope with the degeneracy of the genetic code in two manners: having more than one tRNA (with a specific anti-codon) for a particular amino acid; and 'wobble' base-pairing, i.e. permitting non-standard base-pairing at the 3rd anti-codon position. Lineage: Bacteria; Pseudomonadati; Bacteroidota; Cytophagia; Cytophagales; Hymenobacteraceae. The record is from RNAcentral.
GCCCUGUUCGUAUAACGGAUAAUACGAUGCUCUUCUAAAGCAUCUAUGGGGGUUCGAUUCCCUCACAGGGUACUA